UCUCUGUGUGCUGACAGUGUGGGCUUCUACCCCACUUAAGCUCAGACCACAUAUAUCAGCUUGAUAUUAUCAGGCAGUGUGCUGAAGACCUGGGCAGUUGGCACUGGGCCCAUGGAUUUGUCCUCUGGCCCUUUGGGGUCAAGCACCAUCUGUGAUAUAAGUGGAUGCCGUGCUGUGGGCACCCUUCUGCAGGACCAGCCAGGUAGGUCAUCUUGGACGGUGCCAGCAGGCAAAGUGGUGCAUGGAUCAGAUUCACCUCAGCCCCAUGAUAGCUACAACCCUGCUCUCUCUCAGCCUGGCAGACAGCAGCAGAUGGAUCCCCUCAGUGCAAGAUGCAGAGCCUCGGAGGAUGGGCACCUGUGGUCAGCUGCAGCUGCAUAGCACAGUGAAAACUGCAGAUUUCCACAAGAGUUUAAGCUGUGCCUCUGCCUAUUCUCCAGGUGGCUCCCCCUGCCAGUUCACAGAUGUAUAGGGAUCAUAUGAGAGUCUAUAAUCAGGAGCUCAGACUAGAUUUAGCUGGGAAAUGCCUUUCAAGGAGAAGGAACCAAAGUGAGAAUCUCAGAGGUCCAUGGCUAGACUGUGUUGCCAUGGGGUUUCUUCACAUAUCCCUUCCAUAAGCCUGGUCUGGAUCUACGAGCCAGUCCUGGUGCCCAGUGACUUUGAGCAAGCUUCCCAUCUUCCUCUUCAACCACAGUGUCUGCAUUACCUCUGAAUUAAGCUUUUUCUCAAAAGAUCUGUUUAAAGUAUGAUGUUUUACUCAACAUUUUGUUUUCUCUCCUUGGAGUGAGUGUUUCCCAGCUGCAUCUAGUAAGUCAUCCUGUCCUUUUCUUAAUUUUCUAUGUUAGAUUUGUAAAGUAUAUGUAUCUGAGUCUGAAAAUAACAAGUGGGAUAUUUUGUUAAUUUCAUAUUUCAGCUAUGUCUUCUCAUUACACUGAAGACCUUUUGCCAGAACAGGGCAUGCAAGAUUCAUUCCAAAAAGUGAUACUGAGAAGAUAUGGAAGCUGUGGACUUGAGGAUUUACACUUAAGGAAGGAUGGGGAAAAUGUGGGUGAGUGUAAGGAUCAAAAAGAAAUUUAUAAUGGACUUAACCAAUGUUUGUCAACUCUACCUAGCAAAAUUUUCCCAUAUAAUAAAUGUGUGAAAGUCUUUAGUAAAUCAUCAAAUCUAAAUAGAGAAAACAUAAGACAUACUACAGAGAAACUUUUCAAAUGUAUGCAAUGUGGCAAAGUCUUUAAAUCUCACUCAGGCCUUUCUUAUCAUAAGAUAAUUCACACUGAAGAGAAACUCUGCAUAUGUGAGGAAUGUGGCAAAACCUUUAAGUGGUUCUCAUACCUUACUAAACAUAAGAGAAUUCACACUGGAGAGAAACCAUACAAAUGUGAAGAAUGUGGCAAAGCUUUUAACUGGUGCUCGAGUCUUACUAAACAUAAGAGAAUCCAUACUGGUGAGAAACCCUACAAAUGUGAAGAAUGCGGAAAAGCCUUUCACUGGUGUUCACCCUUUGUUAGACAUAAGAAAAUUCAUACUGGAGAAAAACCCUAUACAUGUGAAGACUGUGGCAGAGCGUUUAACCGGCACUCACAUCUCACCAAACAUAAGACAAUUCACACUGGAAAGAAACCCUACAAAUGUAAAGAAUGUGGGAAAGCCUUUAACCACUGCUCACUACUUACUAUACAUGAGAGAACCCAUACGGGAGAGAAACCCUAUAAAUGUGAAGAAUGUGGCAAAGCUUUUAACUCAUCAUCAAUUCUUACUGAACAUAAGGUAAUUCAUAGCGGAGAGAAACCCUACAAAUGUGAAAAAUGUGACAAAGUCUUUAAGAGGUUCUCAUACCUUACUAAACACAAGAGAAUUCACACUGGAGAGAAACCCUACAAAUGUGAAGAAUGUGGCAAAGCUUUUAACUGGUCCUCCAUCCUUACUGAACAUAAGAGAAUUCAUACUGGAGAGAAACCCUACAACUGUGAAGAAUGUGGAAAAGCCUUUAAUCGGUGCUCACACCUUACUAGACAUAAGAAAAUCCAUACUGCAGUCAAACGCUAUAAAUGUGAAGAAUGUGGCAAAGCUUUUAAACGGUGCUCACAUCUUAAUGAACAUAAGAGAGUUCAAAGAGGAGGGAAAUCCUGCAAGUAUAAAAAAUGUGGGGAAGCUUUUAAUCACUGCUCAAACCUUACUACGUAAGAAUUUUUACUAAAGAGAAAUCCUACAAAUGUAAAGAAUGUGGCAAAGUCCAUAAAUCUUGCUCAAGCCAUUGAAAUCACAAGAUAGUUCAUACUGGAGAGAAACACUACAAAUGUGAAGAAUGUGGGGAAAGUCUUCAACCAUUGCUCACAGCUUAUUGCACAGAAGAAAAUUCAUGCUGAGAAAAAUUCUGAUUUUAAAGAAUGUGGCAAAGCAUUUAAUAACUACUAUGAACUUACUCAUCAGAGGUUUUGUGCUAGAUAAAAGCAAUAUAAGUGUAAUGAUACACAUUACAUUUAUCUGUGGAAAGAUGUCACUAAAUAAAAGCCUUAGAGUACACAAGGUGUAAUGAUAGUGAUACAUUACAUUUGUACAUGGAAAGACUUCAAAAAUAUAAGCCUUAGAGUACACAAGAGUUUUUAUACUGAAGAAAAACAUUACAAAUACAAAGAUUGGUGCAAUACUUUUACUUAUGUUACAGAUUUUGUUGUACAUAGGAGAAUUUAUACUGAAAGGUAACCCUCUAACAGUUGCUCAAAUUUUAUUUCAUUUUAGAGAAUUUACAUUGGAAAGAAACCCUACAACUGUAAUGAAUAUGAAAAAAAUUGUUUAAAAAGUACACCUUAGAAAACGCUAGUUUAAGGCCGGGCGCGGUGGCUCACGCUUAUAAUCCCAGCACUUUGGGAGGCCGAGGCAGGCGGAUCACGAGGUCAGGAGAUCGAGACCACGAUGAAACCCUCUCUCUACUAAAAAUACAAAAAAAUUACCCGGGCAUGUUGUCGGGCGCCUGUAGUCCCAGCUACUCGGAGAGGCUGAGGCAGGGGAAUGGCGUGAACCCGAGAGGCAGAGCUUGCAGUGAGCCAAGAUCGCGCCACUGAACUCCAACCUGGGCGACAGAGACUCUGUCUCAAAAAAAAAGAGAAAACGCUAGUUUAUAUGAAAGCAUUUAACAGAUGCAGUAAAUAUAAAAAAUUAAGUCUAAAUGAACAUCAGAAGAUUCACAGUAGAAACCACUAAGACGCUAACACUUUCAAUGUUAUUCUGAAUCAGGGCAUUGAUUAUAAAGAGUAAUUCAAGGUUAACAUAAUUUAGUUAGCCUAAACAGGAAUAGGAGAUUAAUAUUUUGAGACUUAAACAAUUAUAUUCAAAGUACACUGUUUUUGCAUUGAAAGAAUUUUAGAUUUUUACAAAGGCAAAUUUUGAUGUAAUUGAACUCUCAAAUUACUUGAUGCUGUGUCUUUGUUCCUAGUGUCUGUAUGAAAGCAUGUGGUCAAUUUCUGCUGCUCGGGGUUUGAGAAGUUCUAUAUUAGGCUGUCAUUUAUAUACUUUCAACAGAAGAUCGAGGACACUGAAAUAUGAGGUGUGUGAAAAAAGUACACAGAAACUUUUGUGGUUGACUUAUAAAACUUGUAAGUGCUGCAUGAGAUAGAUGUUCAGAGUAAUAGUCUUGUGCAUUAUUCAAAUUUUAGUAAAUUGUUUUACCAAUUGCACAUUAGAUAGUAUAGUGGAUUUUGUAAUGCUUUUCUUAGACUGUGUGAACUUAAUUUGUUUCAAUAAAACAAAAUUAUUUUUAAUGUGUU
RNAcentral lists this small RNA (3764 nucleotides) under Pan troglodytes (chimpanzee). Its description in RNAcentral is "retained intron". Lineage: Eukaryota; Metazoa; Chordata; Mammalia; Primates; Hominidae. The record is from RNAcentral.